This 203-nucleotide unclassified non-coding RNA is filed under the name Hevea brasiliensis (rubber tree). The record is from RNAcentral. Lineage: Eukaryota; Viridiplantae; Streptophyta; Magnoliopsida; Malpighiales; Euphorbiaceae.
UUUUCUCUCCAAAUCGGAGAGAAAAUAAGAAGAGUUGAAAGGAAAUUUUACUAUACAUAACAAAGUUACAAAAUUGCCCUUUUUAUUUAAGUUAUUUUUAAAUAUAUAGGAUAAAUUUGUUAGUUCAUCACAAUUUUCUUUCCUUUCUUUACUUUCUCCCCUUUCAAAACAAGGGAAAAUAAUUUAUUUUCCUUCCAUCCAAG